GGAAUAUUGGACAAUGGGCGAAAGCCUGAUCCAGCCAUGCCGCGUGUGUGAAGAAGGUCUUCGGAUUGUAAAGCACUUUAAGUUGGGAGGAAGGGCAUUUACCUAAUACGUAAGUGUUUUGACGUUACCGACAGAAUAAGCACCGGCUAACUCUGUGCCAGCAGCCGCGGUAAUACAGAGGGUGCAAGCGUUAAUCGGAAUUACUGGGCGUAAAGCGCGCGUAGGUGGUUUGUUAAGUUGAAUGUGAAAUCCCCGGGCUCAACCUGGGAACUGCAUCCAAAACUGGCAAGCUAGAGUAUGGUAGAGGGUGGUGGAAUUUCCUGUGUAGCGGUGAAAUGCGUAGAUAUAGGAAGGAACACCAGUGGCGAAGGCGACCACCUGGACUGAUACUGACACUGAGGUGCGAAAGCGUGGGGAGCAAACAGGAUUAGAUACCCUAG
RNAcentral lists this ribosomal RNA (440 nucleotides) under uncultured Pseudomonas sp. RNAcentral's name for it is "bacterial SSU rRNA". It matches the Rfam family "Bacterial small subunit ribosomal RNA", at positions 358 to 790 of the family's 1533-position model. The record is from RNAcentral. Lineage: Bacteria; Pseudomonadati; Pseudomonadota; Gammaproteobacteria; Pseudomonadales; Pseudomonadaceae.